GGGGAUGUAGCUCAGCUGGGAGAGCACCUGCUUUGCAAGCAGGGGGUCGCCGGUUCGAAUCCGGUCAUCUCCACCA
RNAcentral lists this transfer RNA (76 nucleotides) under Pseudomonadota bacterium. Its description in RNAcentral is "tRNA-Ala". It matches the Rfam family "tRNA". Rfam says of the family: Transfer RNA (tRNA) molecules are approximately 80 nucleotides in length. Lineage: Bacteria; Pseudomonadati; Pseudomonadota. The record is from RNAcentral. RNAcentral also lists the same sequence under 2 other names.